Molecule: ribosomal RNA, 344 nt
Filed under: uncultured soil bacterium
Lineage: Bacteria
Description: bacterial SSU rRNA
Rfam family: Bacterial small subunit ribosomal RNA
Source: RNAcentral
AGAUUGAACGCUGGCGGCAUGCCUUACACAUGCAAGUCGAACGGCAGCACGGGAGCAAUCCUGGUGGCGAGUGGCGAACGGGUGAGUAAUACAUCGGAACGUGCCCAAUCGUGGGGGAUAACGCAGCGAAAGCUGUGCUAAUACCGCAUAAGAUCUACGGAUGAAAGCAGGGGAUCGCAAGACCUUGCGCGAAUGGAGCGGCCGAUGGCAGAUUAGGUAGUUGGUGAGGUAAAGGCUCACCAAGCCUUCGAUCUGUAGCUGGUCUGGAGAGGACGACCAGUCACACUGGAACUGAGACACGGUCCAGACUCCUACGGGAGGCAGCAGGUGGGGAAUAGUUGGAC